GUAUACUGUUACAUCUCUGAUUAAAUUCAUGUGUGUAUGUGUGUGUGUGUGUGUGUGUAUAUAUAUAUAGGCUAUAUAGAGAGUAUAUAGCCUAUAGACAGCAUAUA
Molecule: microRNA precursor, 107 nt
Filed under: Dasypus novemcinctus (nine-banded armadillo)
Lineage: Eukaryota; Metazoa; Chordata; Mammalia; Cingulata; Dasypodidae
Description: miRNA (ENSDNOG00000041423.1)
Source: RNAcentral